UGGUCAUUUAUGUCUCAUUUUAUAAGAAAUUUGUCCAGUUGUCUUCCAGGGUGGCUGUACCAUUUUGCAUUCCUCCCAGCAAUGUAUUGGAACAAUGUUCUAACAUGUGAAAGCACCCUCGUCAGCACUUGGAUAGAACCUGAUAAACGACAAGCAUUCUGCAAACAUCCCAUAGAAAUCACCUCCUAGAUUCUGAGCCAGUGACAUUUGCUGAGUUGUGAGUUGAAUAUAAUUUCUUUUAUGUUUUGCUUCUGAAUCCAAAAUACAGAUGGUAGUCAUGUUGGCUGCAGCAAUAACUAACUUCGCUGCACUAUCAACCGGAUCUCUUUGUUUUCUUCUUCUGUUUUGAAUCCACACCUAAAAUGGGACAAAAUCUACCAGCCAGAAUAACCUGAUUGAGAAAUCAGCCAUAACUGGUUUUCUUGGCUGUAGACUCUUCAGGAAAGAAUGUGAAGUAUUUUUCCCACAUCCUCCCAGGAGGGCCACCAGGGGCUCCAGUCCUGGAGGUCGAGGAGCAUUGGAGCUGGUUCUGCAGUUGGGGAGUGGGAGUAGCCUUACCUGUCGGACAGUGACUUCCAGUAUCUGAGAAGAGGGUGGGAGAUCAUGAGCGUCCACAAGUGGCAGAAGUUGAGAUCCAAAUGGAACACACACACCCUCCCACCUCCCAGGAUGGCAAAACCUGGUACAGAGAUGGCUGUAAGGAGGAGGCUGGAAGAAAGACCACUAAGUGGCCAGUUAUUGGGCAAAGCCACUGUGAGUGGGCAGCUCACCAGCCUGCCUGGAGAAGCAGUGCCCACAGACAGGAAGCACCAGCAUUCAGCAAGGAGCACAAGGAGCAACUGUAACUGUGGCCAUCUCUACUGAAUAAGGACCAGCUGCCCCAGUUCUACAAGAUCGAGUCCUUUGCUUGUUUGGGAGAUUUUUUGUGCCUUUUGUUUUUGUAAAAUCCAACGUUCCGAGGGAAGAAGCCCUAAUAAUGACAUUAAAUUUCUCACUAACUGUGGAUGGGACUUGGGACCAGAUUUAAAUAAACUUGGACAAAUAAAGAACAUUGGCAUUUUGUUUCCCA
Non-coding RNA from Equus caballus (horse), 1069 nucleotides. The record is from RefSeq and is a predicted model, not a curated record. NCBI's taxonomy places the organism in Eukaryota, Metazoa, Chordata, Mammalia, Perissodactyla, Equidae.